Molecule: long non-coding RNA, 124 nt
Organism: Erigeron canadensis
Lineage: Eukaryota; Viridiplantae; Streptophyta; Magnoliopsida; Asterales; Asteraceae
Exons: 3
Source: RefSeq, a predicted model, not a curated record
GAUGUGUUGAAUAGCUCGGAUGGGGACAUAAGGGUUGUGAAGUUUGGAGCGGGCAAGUUACAUCACAGCUCAAGAUCCAAAUUGACAACGUAAUUCAAGAAAUGUUCACAAGGAAACCUCAACG